CUACGGGAGGCACCAGUGAGGAAUAUUGCACAAUGGGGGGAACCCUGAUGCAGCAACGCCGCGUGGAGGAUGACGCAUUUCGGUGUGUAAACUCCUUUUAUAUGUCAAGAAAAUGAUGGUAGCAUAUGAAUAAGCACCGGCUAACUCCGUGCCAGCAGCCGCGGUAAUACGGAGGGUGCAAGCGUUACUCGGAAUCACUGGGCGUAAAGGACGCGUAGGCGGGCUUGUAAGUCAGGUGUGAAAUCCUACAGCUUAACUGUAGAACUGCACUUGAAACUACGAGCCUAGAGUAUGGGAGGGGGAGAUGGAAUUAGUGGUGUAGGGGUAAAAUCCGUAGAUAUCACUAGGAAUACCUAAAGCGAAGGCGAUCUCCUGGAACAUAACUGACGCUAAGGCGUGAAAGCGUGGGGAGCAAACAGGAUUAGAUACCCUCGUAGUC
RNAcentral lists this ribosomal RNA (439 nucleotides) under uncultured bacterium. RNAcentral describes it as "partial 16S ribosomal RNA". It matches the Rfam family "Bacterial small subunit ribosomal RNA", at positions 339 to 795 of the family's 1533-position model. The record is from RNAcentral.